This 368-nucleotide ribosomal RNA is filed under the name uncultured organism. Its description in RNAcentral is "bacterial SSU rRNA". It matches the Rfam family "Bacterial small subunit ribosomal RNA", at positions 526 to 896 of the family's 1533-position model. The record is from RNAcentral.
CGUAGGUGGCAAGCGUUGUCCGGAUUUAUUGGGUUUAAAGGGUGCGUAGGCGGUCAAAUAAGUCAGUUGUGAAAUACGGCAGCUCAACUGUCGAGGUGCAAUUGAUACUGUUUGACUUGAGUAUUGUUGAGGUAGGCGGAAUGGACGGUGUAGCGGUGAAAUGCUUAGAGAUCGUCCAGAACACCGAUAGCGAAGGCAGCUUACUAAAGAAUAACUGACGCUGAGGCACGAAAGUGUGGGGAUCAAACAGGAUUAGAUACCCUGGUAGUCCACACUGUAAACGAUGAUUACUCGAUGUGUGCGAUACACAGCACGCGUCUUAGCAAAAGCGAUAAGUAAUCCACCUGGGGAGUACGCCGGCAACGGUG